UCCGGGAUCGUCUAAUGGUAGGACAUCGCCCUUUGGAGGCGGCUAUCUUGGUUCGAAUCCAAGUCCCGGAGCCA
Molecule: transfer RNA, 74 nt
Rfam family: tRNA
About the family: Transfer RNA (tRNA) molecules are approximately 80 nucleotides in length.